This 428-nucleotide ribosomal RNA is filed under the name uncultured archaeon. RNAcentral's name for it is "bacterial SSU rRNA". It matches the Rfam family "Archaeal small subunit ribosomal RNA", at positions 474 to 903 of the family's 1478-position model. The record is from RNAcentral.
UACCAGCUCUCCGAGUGGUGUGGAUGUUUAUUGGGCCUAAAGCAUCCGUAGCUGGCUGGACAAGUCCCCUGUUAAAUCCACCGAUUUAAUCGUUGGUGUGCGGGGGACACUGUUCGGCUAGGGGACGGGAGAGGCAGACGGUAUUUUCGGGGUAGGGGUGAAAUCCUAUAAUCCCGGGAAGACCACCAGUGGCGAAGGCUGUCUGAUAGAACGCGCCCGACGGUGAGGGAUGAAAGCUGGGGGAGCGAACCGGAUUAGAUACCCGGGUAGUCCCAGCUGUAAACGAUGCAGGCUAGGUGUUUGGACGGCCACGUGCCGUUCUAGUGCCGCAGGGAAGCCGUUAAGCCUGCCGCCUGGGGAGUACGGCCGCAAGGCUGAAACUUAAAGGAAUUGGCGGGGAGCACCACAAGGGGUGAAGCUUGCGGUUU